Molecule: ribosomal RNA, 447 nt
Filed under: uncultured bacterium
Lineage: Bacteria
Description: partial 16S ribosomal RNA
Rfam family: Bacterial small subunit ribosomal RNA
Source: RNAcentral
AGCGAACGCUGGCGGCAGGCUUAACACAUGCAAGUCGAACGCCCCGCAAGGGGAGUGGCAGACGGGUGAGUAACACGUGGGAACGUACCCUUUGGUUCGGAAUAACUUGGGGAAACUCAAGCUAAUACCGGAUAAGCCCUUCUGGGGAAAGGUUUACUGCCGAAGGAUCGGCCCGCGUCUGAUUAGCUAGUUGGUGAGGUAAUGGCUCACCAAGGCGACGAUCAGUAGCUGGUCUGAGAGGAUGAUCAGCCACACUGGGACUGGGACACGGCCCAGACUCCUACGGGAGGCAGGAGUGGGGAAUAUUGGACAAUGGGGGCAACCCUGAUCCAGCCAUGCCGCGUGAGUGAUGAAGGCCUUAGGGUUGUAAAGCUCUUUUACCCGGGACGAUAAUGACUGUACCGGGAGAAUAAGCCCCGGCUAACUUCGUGCCAGCCGCCGCCGUAA